GUGCCAGCAGCCGCGGUAAUUCCAGCUCCAAUAGCGUAUAUUAAAGUUGUUGCAGUUAAAAAGCUCGUAGUUGAACCUUGGGCCUGGCUGGCCGGUCCGCCUCACCGCGUGUACUGGUCCGGCCGGGCCUUUCCUUCUGGGGAACCUCAUGCCCUUCACUGGGCGUGUUGGGGAACCAGGACUUUUACUUUGAAAAAAUUAGAGUGUUCAAAGCAGGCCUUUGCUCGAAUACAUUAGCAUGGAAUAAUAGAAUAGGACGUGUGGUUCUAUUUUGUUGGUUUCUAGGACCGCCGUAAUGAUUAAUAGGGAUAGUCGGGGGCAUCAGUAUUCAAUCGUCAGAGGUGAAAUUCUUGGAUUGAUUGAAGACUAACUACUGCGAAAGCAUUUGCCAAGGAUGUUUUCAUUAAUCAGUGAACGAAAGUUAGGGGAUCGAAGACGAUCAGAUACCGUCGUAGUCUUAACCAUAAACUAUGCCGACUAGGGAUCGGACGGUGCUAGUAUUUUGACCCGUUCGGCACCUUACGAGAAAUCAAAGUUUUUGGGUCUGGGGGGAGUAUGGUCGCAAGGCUGAAACUUAAAGAAAUUGACGGAAGGGCACCACCAGGCGUGGAGCCUGCGGCUACUUGACUCACACGGGGAAACUCACCAGUCAGACACAAUAGAUGACAGAUGACCGAGCUCUUUACUUGAUUCUGGGAUGGAGUGCAUGCGUCUAGUGGUGGAGGGAUUGGCUGCUUAUGCAUACGACGAGACUACUGCUAAUAGGCAGGCCGUUGCCG
Molecule: ribosomal RNA, 779 nt
Filed under: uncultured fungus
Lineage: Eukaryota; Fungi
Description: SSU rRNA
Rfam family: Eukaryotic small subunit ribosomal RNA
Source: RNAcentral